AGCAGCCGCGGUAAUUCCAGCUCCAAUAGCGUAUAUUAAAGUUGUUGCAGUUAAAAAGCUCGUAGUUGAAUUUCGGGGUCAGUAGGUUGGUCGUGCCACUGGUAUGCACUGGUCUCACUGAUUCCUCCUUCUUGUAGAACCGUAAUGCCAUUAAUUUGGUGUUGCGGGGAAACAGGACUGUUACUUUGAAAAAAUUAGAGUGUUUAAAGCAGGCUAACGCUUGAAUACGUUAGCAUGGAAUAAUGAAAUAGGACGUUCGAUCCUAUUUUGUUGGUUUCUAGGAUUGACGUAAUGAUUAAUAGGGAUAGUUGGGGGCAUUAGUAUUCAAUUGUCAGAGGUGAAAUUCUUGGAUUUAUUGAAGACUAACUACUGCGAAAGCAUUUGCCAAGGAUGUUUUCAUUAAUCAAGAACGAAGUUAGGGGAUCGAAGACGAUCAGAUACCGUCGUAGUCUUAACCAUAAACUAUGCCGACUAGGGAUCGGAUGAUGUUAAUUUUUAAUGACUCA
RNAcentral lists this ribosomal RNA (506 nucleotides) under uncultured Rhizophagus. RNAcentral describes it as "SSU rRNA". It matches the Rfam family "Eukaryotic small subunit ribosomal RNA", at positions 569 to 1078 of the family's 1831-position model. Lineage: Eukaryota; Fungi; Glomeromycota; Glomeromycetes; Glomerales; Glomeraceae. The record is from RNAcentral.